UGCUGCAGUUUGUUGGGUGUGCACUCCAGACCCUAAUCACCUGGGUUUCCACUGCACCUGGAGGUAUCACCAGUGGAGGCUGCAAAACAGCAAAGAUGGCAGCCUGCUCCUUCUUCUGGGAGGUCCUUUCCAGAUGGGCACCAAACUGAUGCCGGCCCAAACGCUUCUGUAGGAAGUGCCUGGAGACCUCUGUUGGGAGGUCUCACCCAGUCAGGAGGAAAAGGAUCAGGGAUCUGCUUAAAGAAGCAGUCUGGCUUCCCCUUGUUGGAGUGGGUGCACUGCGCUGGUGGAAACCCCCUUUUGUACAGAAGCCCCCAGACUCUUCGGAGCCAGCAGGAUCCUAAUGGGAGAAAAGUGCCAUGGCAGAAGGAGAUUCUGUUGAGAAGAUAAAUGCCCUCUGACUAUGUCUUCUUCAAUCCUCAAAAAUAUUGCCAUUAUGUUUGAGAGCAGUUGAUAAAGCAUAGUGUGCUGGGAAGAGUGCUGGAGAAGGAGUCAGUUGACCUUCACGACUGUCCAAUUCUGCAAUGAGCAAGCUGUGUCACUUUGGGCAAAUCAUGGGUUCUCUGUUUCUCUGUUUCAUCUAUAAAGUGAGGCAAUGAAAUAUUAUGAUCUUAAAUUAUUUCUUUACAGUUAUAUGACAUUAAUCAAUUCCUGACUUCCUUCUUCCAUUGGUCAUAAAUAUGUGUAUGUAUGUAUAAUAUAUUCAUAGAUAAUGUGUGUGUGUGUAGUGAUUUUUUUUCCCAACUCAUGGCUGACUUCAGUCUUAAUAAUUACUUUGAUUACACAGUUUUCUACAUAAAAAUUUAAAUUACAAAAUUCUUGUACAUAACCAAACAAAACCCUCUGAGCAAAUUUAAACUGAAGAUUUAGUUGAAUAAUUUUAUUUUAUAUUUUUGCUCCAGAAUUUUCUACUGUGGCAUCUUUAUCAGAUAUUUGUUGAAAGGUUGUUAUUAUGCACUAAUGAAUGAUAGUGUUGAGAACUUGGUCACAGACCUUCACUACAGUGUUACAAACUAUCUUAGAAAUGAAAAAUGUGAAGUCUUAUGACUAAUAAUUGAAUGAUUGUUUUAACAAAUGUAAAUGUGAUUGUGAUGGUUAAUAUUCAGUGUCAACUUGAUUGGAUUGAAGGAUGCCAAGUAUUUUUCCUAGGUGUGUCUGUGAGGGUGUUGCCAAAGGAGAUUAACAUUUGAGUCAGUGGACUGGAAGAGGCAGACCCACCCUCAAUCUGGGUGGGCACCAUCUAAUCAGCUGCCAGUGUGGCUAGAGUAAAGCAGGCAGGAGAAGAUGGAAGAGCAGACUUGCUGAGUCUCCUGGCCUUCAUCUUUCUCCCAUGCUGAAUGCUUCCUGCCCUCGUACAUCAGACUCCAAGUUCUUCAGUUUUUAGACUCUUGGACUUACACCAGUGGUUUGCCAGGGUCUCUCGGACCUUUGGCCACAGACCGAAGGCCACACUGUCGUCUCUUCUACUUUUGAGGUUUUGGGACUCGGACUGAUCCACCCCUGGCUUCCUUGCUCCUCAACUUGCAGACGAACUAUCGUGGGACUUUACUUUGUGAUCACGUGAGUCAGUUCUCCUGAAUAAACUCCCUUUCAUAUAUA
Molecule: long non-coding RNA, 1599 nt
Organism: Homo sapiens (human)
Lineage: Eukaryota; Metazoa; Chordata; Mammalia; Primates; Hominidae
Exons: 2
Source: RefSeq, a predicted model, not a curated record